RNAcentral lists this long non-coding RNA (453 nucleotides) under Homo sapiens (human). Its description in RNAcentral is "non-protein coding lnc-ASB3-1:2". Lineage: Eukaryota; Metazoa; Chordata; Mammalia; Primates; Hominidae. The record is from RNAcentral.
AUCAGAUUUCGCUUCAAAAAUUUUGGACCUUUGUUACUAGGUACAUAAACAUCUGAGGUGUUUAUUGGAGCUCUUUGCCUAGAACUGAUAAUUGGAUUCAUGGUAUUCUGGAGAACAAGGAAGAAAACUGAAGCCCAGAAAGCUUAAUAUAUUACCCAAAGAGUUAGUCCACAUUGAACUGGGAGUUAAUCCUUGUCUGUCUGGCUGGAAAGCUUUUGCUCUGUAUCUUGGAUGAAUAAACUAAACCUUAGGGAAUCUUCCUAGAAGAAACCAUAUAACGCCUCCUGUACGAGAAGUUAAAUUACAACACAAAGAUUGCUUGGUGAGCAUGUGAUCAAAACAGGGCAAGAUGAAGACCUUUAGAGGCCACAAGCAUUUUAGUGUGCCUCCCAACUUCCCUUAUAUUAUUCAAAAUAUAAACAAUAAAAUCUACAAAGAUGUGAAAGAAGUCCA